GUAGUCAUAUGCUUGUCUCAAAGAUUAAGCCAUGCAUGUCUAAGUAUAAGCAAUUUGUACGGUGAAACUGCGAAUGGCUCAUUAAAUCAGUUAUCGUUUAUUUGAUAGUACCUUACUACAUGGAUACCUGUGGUAAUUCUAGAGCUAAUACAUGCUAAGAACUCCAACUUCGGAAGGAGUGUAUUUAUUAGAUAAAAAACCAAUGCCCUUCGGGGCUCCUUGGUGGAUCAUAAUAACCUAACGAAUCGCAUGGCCUUGCGCCGGCGAUGGUUCAUUCAAAUUUCUGCCCUAUCAACUUUCGAUGGUAGGAUAGUGGUCUACCAUGGUGGCAACGGGUAACGGGGAAU
RNAcentral lists this ribosomal RNA (347 nucleotides) under uncultured fungus. Its description in RNAcentral is "SSU rRNA". It matches the Rfam family "Eukaryotic small subunit ribosomal RNA", at positions 20 to 370 of the family's 1831-position model. The record is from RNAcentral. Lineage: Eukaryota; Fungi.